This is a long non-coding RNA of Gambusia affinis (western mosquitofish), 278 nucleotides long. RefSeq lists it as uncharacterized. The transcript is spliced from 2 exons. The record is from RefSeq and is a predicted model, not a curated record. NCBI's taxonomy places the organism in Eukaryota, Metazoa, Chordata, Actinopteri, Cyprinodontiformes, Poeciliidae.
CAGCCAGUACUUGCCAGAAAUUCUUGCAGCUCCUUCAUUGUUGCUGUCAGCCUCUUGCCAGCCUCCCUGACCAGUUUUCUUCUUGUCUUCUCAUCAAUUUUGGACGGACGCCCUGUUCUUGACUUCUCCUGACUGAUUUCUUUGAAUAAUGAGAUCCCUCUGAUGCUGUGGCACCUCUUUGCGGACCAUGGUUUGUGCUGGAUGAUGUGGCUACAAAAAUGUCAGGACAAGCCUACUAGAACAGCUGAACUUUAUCAGAGGCACUUUAAUUGGUUAAG